GGAGCAAUUAAGCUUAAAAGACUGAAGCCAGGUAGAUGAGCCUAUUCCAGGAGGUCUCUUGGCUCCACCCUUGUGAAGUGAAACCUGCCAGGUGUGGAUCAUUUGACUUUUGCUAUAUAGGAAGCCUGAGGACUUGUGGGGAAUUGCCUUCCCGGUGGGAGAGUUUGAGGCUCAGGUUCUCUAGGGUGCUUUUCUGCUGUUGUGGUGGAGCGGAUUCAGUGUUCCUCGGUGGGCUGCUAUUUCUUCACGUUUUCUCCCAUCUCUGUGAAACAGUUUUAGUGACUCUAUGAGCUAGCUACGUUGUUGGUGCCCUCUCAGUACAGUGAGACCCUGGUUACGCGAAGUCACUGUGAAGCAGCGUGGAAGUGACUCAAGUUCAGGAGCUGGCAGUGAAAUUACUUCUGUGGCUUCUAAGCUCCCUUUCCAGCCCUUCCAAAUAUAAUGAGAAUGAAAGCUAAAAAGAAAGCCCCACCAACUCAGAAGCUCAAGUGCUUACAGGCCUGCGUCUCGGCUGUGGAGAAAGAUUUGGAAUAGGUCCACCAGUGAGGAGAGACUAUCUUUCUCCCAGGCUGUACAAACCAGUGUCUGAGGUAUUGGGGAAAGCGUCCUUCUGUGAAAGGAAGAGAGCAGAGCGGGACCACGGCCCGUGCCACCCUGCGGUUCUACCAGCGUGACCAUGCAGAGACGGUGAGAGUAAAGGAAGAAAAAUUGAAGCUGCUGUUAAAGGCAUGGCUACCUGAGUUGUAAAUAAAAAAAAAAAAAAAAA
Molecule: non-coding RNA, 766 nt
Organism: Anas platyrhynchos (mallard)
Lineage: Eukaryota; Metazoa; Chordata; Aves; Anseriformes; Anatidae
Source: RefSeq, a predicted model, not a curated record